CGUUGUUGACUGUGGUUGAACCUUGAUUAUCCUGUCACGAUAUGUGUGUGUGUGUGUGUGUGUGUGUGUGUGUGUGUGUGUGUGUGUGUGUGUGUGUGUGUGUGCACACACGUUAUAAGACAGUCUUUUCUCGUUUCGUAAAAUAAGCUUGUGUCCCAAUCUGUUCACGAGCCGCCUUUAGUCCGGCAGCGAUCGUUUCGGCGCGCGUGACGCCACACUCCAACAACGUACACGUCUGAUCCGCCGCCGCCUGCCAGGGCAACACUGGCGUGCCGGAAAUCCUCACCACCACCACCACCACCACCACCACCACCACCAUGAAAACUUAUCAAACUCGGUUCAAACCAAUUACUGACGUACUCGCGCGCGCGCACACACACACACACACACACACACACACACACACACACACACACACACACACACACACACACACACACACACACACACACACACACACACACACACACACACACACCUAAAACCAUACCACAAAAUAAACUAAACAUGCAUUGCACAUUAAUAAACAAAUAUUUAUUCUCACCUGUUGUAUUACACAGCAUCACAACAGCUACAUUACGAAAACUACCCGAAUGUCGUCACAAAAUGCUGAACCGCGAUAAGAGUGUUGAGAAAGGAGCGUAGAGGGUAGCCACACUGAUAGCCUGGCCGGAGCGUGCCGUGGGUGCACUCUUAUCUCCGCCUCAGUUUGUGUGAUGGCGUGAGUGCGGCUACUCCGUGCUGCCUCCUUCGCUCUUGUGCCUCUCCCUCCUCAUCUCCAGCAUCUUGAGUGCAGCCUUUCAGCCCUUCAGGCUUCUCUUAAUCAGCCAAGGAUCUGUGUUCUCUCGUAAAACCCUUCAACUGCGCCGCCGCCACCAGCACUGCCUCCUGGCCACCCCGGAUUCCUAUGUUUACUUUGUGCCUCGCUCUUGGGAAUCUCGGACGAGGGUUAACUGGACACGCCUACGUUUGUUUAAUAUCCUGGAAGUGGUGUGCCUCGUAGCUUGCUCCACCAAUCCUCCUGAGAGAGAACUAGGCAGGUGGGGUGUGUUAAUGUACCUGUGGAUCGGACUGGUGAGACAAACAGGCAGACGUGAGGCGGCAAGCAAGCAGGAACUUCAUCAUCUACCAGGUGCGUAGCAAGCGAGUGGAGAUGGAAGAGGCAGAUAAGAAGGAGUACUGUCCAAUCCAUUGCCAUCAAGAUAAAGCGGAACUCUUGUAGAAAAGACAGGUUGAGAUUUGCUCUCAGGAAAGAUUUCUCUCUCCUUUCUCGCAUCACGUGGAGCGACUGAACCGGAGGGACCUCGAAAUAAAUCCUCACAGACGCUCGCAUCGACUUAGCAUAUCGUUUAUCGCUGAAGCAACCUGGAGAAAUAAAUAAUUCCACCUUGACGGAAAAGAAACACGGCAGGGAAUUCCAACAACAGUCUCUGCUGACGUCGCCCACGAGAGAAGAGUGUGAGGGAGGAAGGAACGGAGCGAGGCGCGGUGAGGCGAGUCUCCAGGAAGCCCAAGCAGUGUUGACAGAGGCAGCUAGAAUUGUUUACACAUCCCACGCUGACCUUGAUAGUGAGCCGUUCACCGCCGCUAUAAAUCUGAUUGCUGAGUGCCGCUCUUUCUUCCCCCUUGUGGUGAGGCAAGAAUACCUGCCCAUCGCACCUGACGCCUCUACCCAUAUUCACCUGAGCUUCUUACCUGCUCAAUGCUGGUGAAUUAAGGAGUUCAUGACAGUCAACAAAGAGGGAAAAAAGUGUGAUGCUACAAGUCUACCUGUCCACUUACCUGUUUCCCUUACACCUGUAUUUACACCUGCGACCGUCCUUAUCUGAGCUAUUUAGAAGAGUAAGGUGUCAAUAAUCAAGAAAGGGUGAAAAGUGCAAUGUAGCAACGAGCAAGUGUACCUUUCCACGCGUCUUCUCCCCUACACCUGUACCGACACCUGUUCCCUUUCCUUACCUGACUUGCCUUGAAAAUUUAACGUAAAAUCAGGUAAUCAAUAAAUGAGAGUAAAAAGAGGACUUGAAGUAGCUGGAAGGGUAUUAUCAGUAAACAAAAGAGCAUCAAGUGUAUAAUUUAGUUGGAACUCAUAAACACCGAUUGCGGGGAGGGGAUUAACGAGGCUCACAUUUUAUCGUGCUACUAACUUCCAAACUCCUCGUUAAACACCGUAACUCUGGCGCGCAAAGGCGAGACGCUUGUAAUGCCGAGCCGGAGCGGAACGCAGGAAGAAAGGAAGCAAGAAAAUGAACAUAAUGCGAAAAAGAUAACUACUAUAGAAAAAAAAAAAAGUAACUACUAGUGACGCGCGAGUUUCACCUGCGAUACCUGAGUGUAAUUAACCGUGACUAAUGCUUAAUGGAAGCAAGGACUCACCUGAACAGUGUCCCGAUAACUCCCUAAUUAAGGCUCCCGGCUACCUGUGCUCACCUGUAGCAGUAAUUAGACUUACCUCAACGUGCAUCAUUCUCACGGCGGCGCUUUUUGGGUGGGGUACAAGGCGCAAAUUACACCGCCUAGUGCUCAUUUGCGAGGCCACUGCAGGGAUUGGUUCUGAAAAAUGAGGAAUGCAAGGAAGAUUAGAGAAGAAAUUCAAGAAGCAAAUCGGGAGGAAUAAGAAAUAAUAACAAGAAUAGGAAUUUAAUUAUGGCUGAUUGGAUGCGAGAUGACAAAGUGAAGAUCGAAACAGUAUCAAGAGAAAACGCUGAAUGAAAAUAAGAGAACGAACUCGAGAAUGUGAUAAUAAGAGAACAGAAGCAGAGGGAGAGAACAGAGGCAGGCGCGAAACCACAAAAGUCAAAUACUUGUCACUGGAAAAUAUUAAAAGACAUGGCGCGUUAGAGAACAAUGAGAGAAAAUGAGAAUCUUGAAUGGAGGUGAGGAGAUAAAAGGAAGAGGGACAUAAAUCUUAGCACAACAAAAGGAAGUGAAGAAGAUGAGAGACAGAGGAUAAACAAAACGAAAAAAGGCGUGAAAACAUAAUACGCUAAAGAAGGAGGCAGGAAGAAAAAUAAGAUAAAAAAAAACAAGUGAAAAAUCGAGAGGUAAAGAAAGAUAAAUACAAAAGGAAAAAGAAAUAACAAAAGCCGGACAUUACAUAAACAAAGGAAAGGGAAGACUGAACAUUAAAAAAAACAUAAUACAAGAAUAAACUGAGUAAAUAGAGAGAACAAAAGAGAAAGAUAAAGAAGGAGACGAAGGGUAUGGGUUCAUUGCUAAGAUCUGAUUUCUGCUGGCAAUGCGUCCGCUAUUCUGGGCGAAGGAAGUGGGCCGCUGCAUGGGUUCCUGCUGCCUCUGCGCCUGCUACCCGUUCUCCAGGUGAGUAUUGCCAGCGUUGCAUCGCCGCCUCACUUGGCAACACUGUAGAGCGUAGGGAGUCAGGGUAACAUCGCGGAGAAAAUGGUGAGUGUGUCAUUUCCCGUUUUCUGUUUGGCUUAAGAGAAAAAAAGAGGGGAAAGGGAAAAAAACGAUCCACGGAGCCUCAUCUUGGAACACGGUAAGGCCAUUUGGUGUUUGAAUAUUUUAUUUCCUCGUUUUGUUCUGUUUUUUUAUUCAUAUCCUGAGGAAUUAUUGCUUAGUUUCCCCCUUUUUCCCCACCGGUGAUUGAAAAGAAAAUGGAAGGUAAGAGGAUAUCCUUUUUUUUUUUUACUAUAUUCUUAGGUAUUCAUGGUGACGUCAAAAGAAAACUGUUUACUAUUAUUUUAGGUGUGUCUUUGUUAUUUUAUACUGGUGAAUUACUGGUUAGUUUCCCCUUUUUAAUUUACGGUGAUUAAAAAGAAAAUGGAAGGUAAGAAUAAAUCCAAUUUCUUUUUUACUACGUUUACAAGUAUUCAUGACGUGAAGAGAAAAGAAAACGAGAUAUUUUAGGAGUGUGUCUACUAUUUAUGGAUUAACGCUCUGUUCAAAUUAAACUGGCGGAGAAAUCCAACCCUGCUUUCAGUGAUUUUUUUUUUCUACUUUUUUUUGUGAUGACGUGAAAAGAAAACGAAGUGGUGCAAUUAUUUUAAGUGUGUCUGUUCCAUUUAGCUUGACGGAGAUGCCCGAUCCCCGCUCCACGUCCGCCUCGCAGUGUGAUUGGCUGUAAUUAAGUGAGUGAUGUACUUGAUUGGUCGUCGGUGGAGGAAGAGGAGUGUCAUUUAUGCUAAUUAAAAAUAAAUAAACUUGAA
Long non-coding RNA from Scylla paramamosain (green mud crab), 4163 nucleotides. RefSeq lists it as uncharacterized. The record is from RefSeq and is a predicted model, not a curated record. Lineage: Eukaryota; Metazoa; Arthropoda; Malacostraca; Decapoda; Portunidae. The transcript has 2 exons.